This 254-nucleotide ribosomal RNA is filed under the name uncultured bacterium. RNAcentral describes it as "partial 16S ribosomal RNA". It matches the Rfam family "Bacterial small subunit ribosomal RNA", at positions 524 to 776 of the family's 1533-position model. The record is from RNAcentral.
CACGUAGGGGGCGAGCGUUGUCCGGAUUCAUUGGGCGUAAAGCGCUUUAAGGCGGUUCGCUAAGUCGGGUGUGAAACCUCCAGGCUCAACCUGGAGACGCCACUCGAUACUGGCGUGACUAGAGUUCGGUAGGGGACCACGGAAUUCCUGGUGUAGCGGUGAAAUGCGCAGAUAUCAGGAGGAACACCAGUGGCGAAGGCGGUGGUCUGGGCCGAUACUGACGCUGUAGAGCGAAAGCGUGGGGAGCGAACAGG